GAUGAACGCUGGCGGCGUGCCUAAUACAUGCAAGUCGAGCGAAAGGAGGAGAAGCCUGCCUCCCUGAUGUAAGAGGCGGACGGGUGAGUAAAACGUGGAUAAAAUACCUAUAAGAAUGGGAUAAAUUAGGGAAAACGGAGCUAAAAACGGAUAAAAUUUUGAACAGCAAGGUUCAAAAGUGAAAGACGGUCUUGCUGUCACUUAUAGAUGGAUCCGCGCUGCAUUAGCUAGUUGGUAAGGUAACGGCUUACCAAGGCAACGAUGCAUAGCCGACCUGAGAGGGUGAUCAGCCACACUGGAACUGAGACACGGUCCAGACUCCUACGGGAGGCAGCAGUAGGGAAUCUUGCGCAAUGGGCGAAAGCCUGACGGAGCAACGCCGCGUGAAUGAUGAAGGUCUUCGGAUCGUAAAGCUCUUUUAUUAGGGAAGAACAUAUUAAUAAUUAACUGUGCACAUCUUGACGUUACCUAAACAGAAAGCCACGGCUAACUACGUG
Molecule: ribosomal RNA, 497 nt
Filed under: uncultured bacterium
Lineage: Bacteria
Description: partial 16S ribosomal RNA
Rfam family: Bacterial small subunit ribosomal RNA
Source: RNAcentral